AUGCCUCUGUACAUUGUGUCAGACCGGGACCCUGUCUUCACCAGCAAUUUUUGGCAAAUUUUGGUCAAGAGAACUGGAGCUGUCCUUAACAUGAGCACUGCAUACCAUCCGGAGACUGAUGAUCAGACCGAGCGAGUGAAUCAACAAGUUGAGUGUUUCCUGAUAUGCUUUAUCAGUGGCCACCCCAGCAAGUGGUCCAAGUGGCUUCCCCUGUGUGAAUUCUGGUACAAUACAAACUGA
RNAcentral lists this ribosomal RNA (240 nucleotides) under Triticum aestivum (bread wheat). Its description in RNAcentral is "partial small subunit ribosomal RNA". Lineage: Eukaryota; Viridiplantae; Streptophyta; Magnoliopsida; Poales; Poaceae. The record is from RNAcentral.